Molecule: ribosomal RNA, 452 nt
Filed under: uncultured Thiobacillus sp.
Lineage: Bacteria; Pseudomonadati; Pseudomonadota; Betaproteobacteria; Nitrosomonadales; Thiobacillaceae
Description: bacterial SSU rRNA
Rfam family: Bacterial small subunit ribosomal RNA
Source: RNAcentral
ACAAGCGGUGGAUGAUGUGGAUUAAUUCGAUGCAACGCGAAGAACCUUACUACCCUUGACAUGUCCGGAACUUGCCAGAGAUGGCUUGGUGCCCGAAAGGGAACCGGAACACAGGUGCUGCAUGGCUGUCGUCAGCUCGUGUCGUGAGAUGUUGGGUUAAGUCCCGCAACGAGCGCAACCCUUGUCCUUAGUUGCUACGCAAGAGCACUCUAAGGAGACUGCCGGUGACAAACCGGAGGAAGGUGAGGAUGACGUCAAGUCCUCAUGGCCCUUAUGGGUAGGGCUUCACACGUCAUACAAUGGUCGGUACAGAGGGUUGCCAAGCCGCGAGGUGGAGCCAAUCCCACAAAGCCGAUCGUAGUCCGGAUUGUUCUCUGCAACUCGAGAGCAUGAAGUCGGAAUCGCUAGUAAUCGCGGAUCAGCAUGUCGCGGUGAAUACGUUCCCGGGUCUU